UGGCGUAAUGGUUAAGAGUUUGGCUGCUAACCAAAAGGGUCGGUGGUUCAAAUCCACC
This 58-nucleotide transfer RNA is filed under the name Loxodonta africana (African savanna elephant). It matches the Rfam family "tRNA", at positions 8 to 63 of the family's 71-position model. Rfam says of the family: Transfer RNA (tRNA) molecules are approximately 80 nucleotides in length. Their secondary structure includes four short double-helical elements and three loops (D, anti-codon, and T loops). Lineage: Eukaryota; Metazoa; Chordata; Mammalia; Proboscidea; Elephantidae. The record is from Rfam by way of RNAcentral.